Molecule: long non-coding RNA, 854 nt
Filed under: Mytilus galloprovincialis (Mediterranean mussel)
Lineage: Eukaryota; Metazoa; Mollusca; Bivalvia; Mytilida; Mytilidae
Source: RNAcentral
UCUUGACCUAUCUUUUUUAAAUACAAAAAGCACUUUUUUUUUUUAAAGAAAGCCCAGUGGUAUGAAUAUUUAAAUGAGUUUUCAUUCUUAACAAUGUCAUAGAUAAUGUAUAAAAUGUCAAUGUUAAGGAUUGGGGCCUAUUUUAAACACCUUUAAUCAACAAAUUUUAAAAAGAACAAAUACCACAACCCAUAAGGCAGACAGACGACUUACUAUUGAAGUAUUAAACUGUCAAAAUACUCUAAAUUGUUAAUACAUGUAUCGUUUUUAGUCCCAAUAUAUAUUUGAAAUCCAGGAAGAAAGUGUUGAAUGAUAUGUCGAAUUGUGUAUAACUUUUAAUAGUUAUUGGAGUUAAAAACAGAGAAAGGUUUUAUUUAUUGAAUGAUAUUCUUUUUUUAUACGCAAUCUUUUUAUACUUUGUGAUGUUUUCUAUUAAGAACUUGAUAUACCGUUCAUUUCAUAUCUAUACAUUCUAAUGAGAUAGUCCCAUUCAUCCUUAAAGUGCCCUAUAAUUGUAGAUUUUAUUGAGCGAUAAAACAGUUAUUCAUAAAGAUAUUAACCAUUGCCAGAAUUGUAUGAAAAUUACUUACACCCAGUGUUGUUGUCGAGCCUGCAACUUUUGUUGAUAGUAAUCCGGCGGCGGCGGCGUUAGCUAACUUCUUAAAAAGCUUUAUAUUUUAGAAGGUGGAAGACCUGGAUGCUUCAUACUUUGUAUAUAGAUGCCUCAUGUUACGAAGUUUCCGUCAUUCACAUGUCAAAUGUCCUUGACCUCAUUUUCAUGGUUUAGUCAGUGGCGGAUCCAGAAAUUUUCAUAAGUGGGGGCCCACUGACUGACCUAAGAGGGGGCCCGCUCC